CAGUAGCCACGGUAAUACGAAGGGUGCAAGCGUUAAUCGGAAUUACUGGGCGUAAAGCGUGCGUAGGCGGUGAGUUAAGUCUGCUGUGAAAUCCCCGGGCUCAACCUGGGAAUGGCAGUGGAUACUGGCUCGCUAGAGUGUGUCAGAGGAUGGUGGAAUUCCCGGUGUAGCGGUGAAAUGCGUAGAGAUCGGGAGGAACAUCAGUGGCGAAGGCGGCCAUCUGGGACAACACUGACGCUGAGGCACGAAAGCGUGGGGAGCAAACAGGAUUAGAUACCCCCGUAGUCCUGUCUCUUAUACA
This 301-nucleotide ribosomal RNA is filed under the name uncultured bacterium. Its description in RNAcentral is "partial 16S ribosomal RNA". It matches the Rfam family "Bacterial small subunit ribosomal RNA", at positions 509 to 809 of the family's 1533-position model. The record is from RNAcentral.